UAGAUUUAUAUUUAUUUACUUUACUUAUUUGUUUAUUUUAUCAAGUCGUUAAGUAACUGUUGUUUGAGUAUAUCUGUUUUGCAUCAUCUGUUAUUAAAUAUGUAUGAUAAUAAUUUAAACAUAUUUAUAAUUUAAACAUAUUUAUAAUUUAAACAUAUUUAUAAAUAUAUAUAUAUAUAUAUAUUUUAUCAUACAUAUUAUCAUCAUUAUCACAGUUUUGGAAAUGUUUUGUCACAGAACUUUCAUUUGCAUUUUUGUCAUUUUUGUAUCGGCGGUCUAAAUAUAUCGAUUCCUUACACUAUGAUAGAAGAAACGUGACAUUGUAACACGUUGGACGAUGAGUGCUGUAUUUAAACACUGACCCAGUAACUCAUCCCCUACGCCUCUCACCCAACCUUUUCCACCCUCAUUUUGACCUCCGAAGACCACUCUGAAAAUUUCACACAAUCUUCCUUCACUGCAGUGGUUGCACUAGCGCUCUGAGCCAACAUGUUGCCAUAAUUGGGCCUGUAGUGGCGGCAGAGACCAAGGCAAUUAAUCCUUUCCUCCUGUUGUUUGCACCCUGGUUGGCAGUGACAGGGUGCAGCAUAAUUGGACCGGAGCCCACUUGUCCCCUCCAUUUUACAUUAAUAUCCUCUCAACUCCAGAAUCUAAUCCCGGCCAGGUUGAGAAUCCCACUUCUGCCACCAAUGUCCAGUCUCUCUUUCGUGCUCGUCCACUCCCACCUGUCAACUGUCCUCCAUCACCACGCUGGGCUAAUCCUACACGCUGAGCUCGCAGUUGAGAUUGAAAGUGCGCAAAAUGGGCUGGGGAUUGUCGGUGUGUGCUGUGUGUACGACCAUGUAGGGUUUUGGGUGUGUAAAAGUGCUAGCUAAAAUUCUGAUUUUUAAUUGGUUUGUUUGUCCGUAUCUCUACAGUGAAUGCCAUACAGCACAGCCGCUGAAGACCGAACCCAUUUUAGGACUUUAAAUUUUGUUAAAAAGCUAAGAAACUCUCAAGACAGUUAUUUUGGUCAAAGACAACAAAUGUUUAAAUUUGUUUAUUCAGAAUCAUUGCUGGAGCAGAGAUGGUAUAUGAUAUAUACAUAUACGAAAAAUGGAGAUCGGUUAAACUGUGUUCAGUGUGCAGAAUAUAGGGGGGCUUGGACACUUCAGACCCCCUUUAAUCCUCAAAAAGGAAGUACUCAUUUAAACUGGAAAUGUCAGGGUUAGGGUAGGAAGACAGGACUCGAACACAGACUUUUAAUGAAAAAAUACUUUAAUAGUCAAAAACUCCCACAAAGUAAAAGGGCAAAAACACACACAUGAACCGCCGGGAAAAAAGGCAGGCAGGAAAGCGGAACAUUCAGACAAUAGACAGGGACAUCCGUGACAAGAGACAAUGACGCCACAAGUGACAAACAAAACACACUGCUUAAAUACACAAGGGAGGUGCAGGUGAUUGGACACAGGUGGAAACAAUCCGACAAUCAUAGGGGAUGACAGGACCAGGCAGGAAGUGAAGUUACCCGGGGACACGAGUGGCAGAAAACUACAAAAUAAGACAGGAAGUGCACCACACCGUGACAGGAAAACCGUUUCACACAAAUAUGAAGCAAAAAUAUCCAUCCAUCCAUCCAUUUUCAACCGCUUAUCCGGGGUCGGGUCGCGGGGGCAACAGCUCCAGCAGGGGACCCCAAACUUCCCAUUCCUGGGCCAAAUCUACCAGCUCUGACUGCGGGAUCCCAAGACGUUCCCAGGCCAGUGCAGAGAUAUAAUCUCUCCACCUAGUCCUGGGUCUUCCCUGGGGCCUCUUCCCAGCUGGCCGUGCCUGGAACACCUCCCUAGGGAGGCGCCCAGGGGGCAUCCUCACCAGAUGCCCAAACCACCUCAACUGGCUCCUUUCGACACAAAGGAGCAGCGGCUCUACUCCGAGCUCCUCGCGAAUGGCUGAGCUUCUCACCCUAUCCCUAAGGGAGACGCCAGCCACUCUCCUGAGGAAACCCAUUUCGGCCGCUUGUACCCGUGACCUAAUUCUUUCGGUCAUGACCCAUCCUUCAUGACCAUAGGUGAGGGUAGUGUUAGGGUUUUAAGUAGAAGUGAAUGUCUAGUCAUAGAAUUUGUAGUACGUGUAAUGAUGUUUAGUGAUAGAAUUGUAGUUUGUGUGAUGUUAGAUUAGUUACUACAUUAACAUGUUAGAUGAAGUGAAUACAAUGUGAAUCAAACACAGUUUAUAGUCUCUUAAAUCGUAGAAACACUCUACAUAUUUACAUUCUGUUACAAUGUGAUGUUAAAACCUGGGGACGGAUGCCAAUUGCCGUUCUUUAUGGAUUUCUUCCAAUUUUUUCCCCAAAGAGGGUUUUUUGGGAGUUUUUUCUCCUGUCAGGUAAUAAAUGAACAACUUAAUGCGAGGCAGCCGACUAAGGCAAAUGUCUUGAGAAUUGGACCACAUGAACUGUCUUAGAUCUUAUGGUGAAGGGUGAUGAACGGGGAUCAUUUAAUGAUGGGUUGUUGUAAUUAAAGUGUACUAGUUAUAAGAUGAAGACUUAAACGAUGUAUGCUUUGUUAAAUUCACUCAUUGGGGCAUAAAGCCAACUGUAUCUACAUUGAGUGCAUUGGAAUGUGAGGGACAGCUAGGACAGAGAGGUUUCAGGUUACAGCUGCAGCUUCACACUCGAUGUGGAAGGGACAAUGGAGGAGGUGACCCUUUGGAGAAGAGGCCAAUGACAUUCAAAUGCACCAAGGAAGACACACCUCAAGAGUUUUCAAAGGACCAUGGCGGGGGAAAGACUGUUAGAUUUUCUCCUGCAGCCGCGUUGAUAAGUCACGUUAGACUUGCUCAGAGGAUUCUCUAUUUCGCGAAAUAUUCCACUGUUCGCUUAGUAUUUCACUUUGUAAUUGCAUUCCUUAUAACGUUGUUCAGUUAUUAAAUAACUUUUGAUUUUUGUAUUUAAACGAAUUGACUCACUCGUGUCCUCGUUUCCGGCCGGGACGAGAACAAAGGAGUGAGGCCUCCCUUGAGAGCCUUCCGAAACCUUAACAGUAGGAACGAAGAUUGACCGGUAGAUCGAGAGCUUUGCCUUCCGGCUCAGCUUCCGAACACAUCUCUCGCUUGGGGCCAUCCAAUCCAAGGAUUGGAUGGCCCCAAGCAAGGACCCCCUCACCCCGUACUCCCGCAGCACCUCCCACAGUAUCUCUCGGGGGACCCGGUCAUACGCCUUCUCCAAGUCCACAAAACACAUGUAGACUGGAUGAGCAUACUCCCAAGCCCCCUCUAUGAUCCUGGAAAGAGUGAAGAGCUGGUCCGUUGUUCCACGACCAGGACGAAAACCGCAUUGUUCCUCUUCAAUCCUCUUCAAACGCCUCUCUGCUAUUGAUAAUGCAAUAAAACAUCCAUCGGUUAAAAAGUAUUUUGUACUCUGAGUAGUUUUCGAGAAGAGUACUUUGAACUUUUGCUUAAGUAUUUUUUUAACACUAGUACUUUUGCUUGUAAUUGAGUACAAAUUUUCAGUACUCUUUCCACCUCUGCCGAAAACUGAGGGUGGUGUUGUUUCCUCUCAUAUUACGCUGUUUGUCCACAUUGCUGUGUUGUACCAGCUUCUUCCUUAGGUGGCACCUUUGCAAACUGUCCUCAAUGUAAAUGUUUAAAAAAUGCAAAUCUCCAAAUAACCUGACAUGUAGUAUAUUUCUUUCCCACGGGAACCUUAUAAUUGCACUUAAUUGAAAAUAUAGAUAAGAAACAUCAAGUCAGGGAAAUAUGUCCAAGCAAAGUUGAUACAAGUUGAGUUUUUACCAAAGAUCAUUGUUUGGUUUCAAAUAACUAUGGAAGUCCCAUUACUUAAGUACGCAAGUUACUUGAAGGAUUGUUUACGCAUAACAUCUGUAUCCAAAGAUUGUUGUUACAUUCAAAACUUUACCAGUCUUAGCUUCUUUAUCAUGUCAAGCCAAAGAGUCUACAGAGUUAUGAUUUUAUAAUGAUCAGUCAAGCAACCAUAUAAACAGGAUCUUACAUCUCUAUUAUAUUUAAAUUCUUCAGGGUCAGACAUUUGAAAUGGAAUCAUCUCCUUCCUCAAAUCUUUCAAAGGCCCAUACCAGUUUUUCUCACUUCAACAUCGUCUCUACUUCCCUCCAUCCCCUUCUUUCUUUCCUUCUUUUUUCCACAUCAAUUCCUAAUCUCUACAAAGAUCACUCUUUUGUCAGCAUAGGUGUGCUUCAAAAACACAUCAAUAGAAGUAUAAUAGCACUGUGGUUGCUUUGUUAUUUUAUAUCAUUCUUUUUUUCCCUGCCUGUCAUGCUUAAUUUUUGUGCAUCAACAGUUUAUGUGUGGUGUGUUUUUGCGCCUGGCGGGAGUUAGAAUUACAGUAGAGUGCUCUUGUAAACUUAGUUGAAUAUUCAAUCAGUUAUGUUUCAUAAUGACACAGCAAUGCAGCCAUUUGGUGAAGGGGGUUGCGGGAGGGGGUGUAGAGGAGACGGGAAAGGCAAAGGGAGAAAAAGGAAAAAUCAAUACAACUAGCACACUGGCAUGGCAAAGAGAGGGGAUCUAUUGUGGGGGAAUGAUGAUUUAUGUCAGGGGUGUAAGGGCUGUCUGGGUGCGUCGAGGACGAAGGUGCACCAAUAAUGAUUAAUGCCCCCCAGCUUCCUGGACACAACCCAACCAGCACACCAUGCCUCCCAUCUUUGAAACAGGACUUUUACCUCUUUCUCCUGACUGCAUUGCCAGCUUUCUUAUCGUACAUGCAGACAUUUCUCACUUGAAACGCAAACUAAAAGAGAGCAUCAACCGUCAGUUGCUUUGAUUCCAUCAACAAAUAUUGAUUGGUUUUGUUGCGCAAUUAUUAGUUACGCCCCUCAAUACGUUGCGGAAAAGUUUAGUUGAGUGGGAGAGUUUGGGUGUGAGUCCAAAGUAGAGCAGCAAUCCCCAACCUUAUUUGCUUCGGAUCGCGGGAAAAAAAAUAUGUUAUGAGCGACAAUCGCAUGUAAUUUAUUUUUCAAAAUAAAGUGACCGGAUUCCAAAAAAGUAAAAAGUACAUCACUGGUGUAGAAAACAAGUUUUGACGUUCAAACAAAUCGUUUGUUGUUUUUUCUAAUUUGUAUUUCAUUUUUAUAAACUAUAUAUUGUUCUGACAGCUCAGGUCCCUCUACAUGUUUUUGUGCACAUUUUAAAAUAUAACUAUAUAUAUUGGCAGAUGUAAAGCAUACAUGUGUAUGCUUUUUGUGUUAGUCAAUAUAAUGUUUUAUCAUUUAGUUUAUAAAAAUAAUUAGUUAUUAGUUGCAGCCCUUAACAUAGGCAUAAAGGUUGGUUAGUGGUUUCACUGGCUGACGUGCAAGAUUAUUCACAUUGCAACAGUUUGUGGUUCCAAGUUCCAAAAUUAUUUUCAUAUAGUUAUCCUACAUUUAUACUCAUUUUAUUAAUAUAUUGUCUGAGCCACAUUAAAAGCUCAGAAGUCUGCUGAAGGAGCAGGUUGGAGAGCAUAUAUGGCUCAAACAACAUGGGAUGACAAUCAACACACAGUUGUAGUAGUCCCACAACCAAUCAAUUCAACAUCACUUUAUUGUAGUUUCAUCAUGUAACGUCUGCAAUUACAUAGUUUAAGAGGUUGUGCCAGUGACCAAGCCAUGUAUGACAUACUUGUGGGGGGGGCGCAGACGGGGGUGUUCCGCACGGGGGGGAUUGGGAGUGUUACGCAGGGGGGGGAUCGGCGGUGUGUAAUUCAGUGGCAACAGUGGCACUCAAUGGCACAACUCGUGGCCACAGUGGCAACAGUGCCACUCAGUGGCACAACUCGUGGCACUCAGUGGCACAACUUGUGGCACUCAAUGGCAUAACUUGUGGCCACAGUGGCACAUCAGUGGCAACAGUGCCACUCAGUGGCACUCAAUGGCACAACUCGUGGCACUCAGUGGCACUCCAUGGCACAACUCGUGGCACUCAUGGCAACAGUGGCACAACUUGUGGCACUCAUGGCACAUCAGUGGCAACAGUGACACAACUUGUGGCACUCAGUGGCCACAGUGGCACAUCAGUGGCCACUCUGGCAAUUCAUUGGCAACCUGUUAGGCGUCCUCAAAGCGCCACUCGAUCCGAGAGGCUGCCGAGCUGUUUCUUGUUUUUUAUUGACUUGAGUGGGGUUUUGCUUUUCAAUUUAUUGGGUUUGUUGAGCAUGUUGUUUUGUUAUUCUAGGACUUGCACUUAUUUUUCCUAUUGCCACUUGUCAGAGGAUAUCCAAGCUGCCACAAUAAUACCUCUAGAUGUCAGAGUUUAUUCCAAAAAUACUCUUUUUAAGGUUAUUUUAUUCUGUUAUGUUUUCAAUGAAAAGUGCUAUUGGAACAUAAAUUCAGUUACACAUGAAAGCAUAAAUAUUUCAUUUGUUAUUUCAUUCAUAUAUAUACAUAUGUAUGAAUGAAAUAACAAAUGUAAACAAAAGGAAACUUAACAAUAAAUAAUAUAAACAUGUAAAAACAACCUGAAAAUAAAUUUAAAAAACUGAACUAGUCCCACUCUUUGAACAAAGCAUUGACUUUGUCCUUGCCCUUGUCAAUAAACUGUGCCACAAACAUUUCGUAGUCACUUCUGUACUGGAAUUCCACGACAAAGACAUUUAUCGGUGCAUCUGCGUCGUCCUCAUUUUCAUCCAUGGAGUUCUUGAGGUCUUGCAAUGCUCGUAGCUGGUUGCCUCUGUCCAUGUUGGUAAUUUCAGGCAAGGUUACCUUCCCCUUAAAUGCUUUUGUCUGCAACCACGUUGCUGCCAACAAGGUGUGUUCGAGCAUUUUCAUUUUUCCCUCAUUCUGCAUUUGAAGAAAAGGAGUAUCAUAAAAAAGGCAUACAUUUUAAAUAUAUAUAUUUUUAAUAAACGUUGACUAUAAAAUAUGAAACAAUAAAAAAGCAAUCCAUUAUAUUUCAACAAGACUGUAUAUAUAUUCUAUGUAUCUAGCACAAUUACCUGUUGGUCUGGUUGGGCUUUCUGCUUCACUGAACAUAACGAGAAUGAAUCAUCACAUAACUUGCAGGAUAUACUUUUCUCUAAAAGAUGAAAAGUCCAGUUAUCCGAAGCAACUACAUAAUUGUAUUACACAUUUCUAAAUUUAUUAAAAAAUGUAAUUUAUCUGUUGUUAAUUGUUGUAGAAAUCCAUAAUUUCUUCAUUCAACACAGACUUCCUAGCACCUACUUACUUAGAAACCUUACUUAGAAAUUAAUUCACAAACAAACAUUUACGUCAUUAAUUUCGUUUAACUUCACACUUAAAAAAAACAGACCACAAAUUGUCUGUCUCAUAAUUUUGCCUGCAGCAGCCUUCUUAAAUAAAACCAGUACUGCAGUACAAAAUCCACUUCUUAAUAUUAUUUGCUUUUUUGGGGGGAUAAUGAAUUUAUAUUUCAUUUGUUCAAUAUAUUUAGAAUUAGCCCCUAUUUGUGUCUUUUUUCUUAUUAUUUCAAAGUAGGUUUUUGAGCCAAUACUAGGACUCUGUCUCUGUGUGAAUUCAACUCCAGCUGAAUCUAUCAACUCUGCUGUGGUCCAUCCCUGUCACAAUGUGUAUAUAUCCUAUAGUUAGUAUUCAGAUGUAUACCCAUUACAUACAUUGUUUUUGUUUUAUAUAGUAGUCCAACCAAAGACUAAAGGAGGCAGGCAAACAUCACAUGUAGUGUAUAAACAAACAAAAAAGAAAAAAAUGAAUAUUGAUUCAGUUUAGAGUUUGUUUUUUCACCUGUCCCUCCACAGAGGCACGGACUGCUGACUUCAAAUCUUCAUCUGCGUUUUGAACUAUUAAAGUGAUAUUACAAAAGUGUUUUUGUAAAUUAACUUAAACAUCUUCAAAUGGAUGAAUAUUAUUUUCGUAUUCAUUUUAUUCUAAUCCAUGAAGAUCUGAAGUUCUGUUAACCUUGAUCACUGCUCUCCAUACUCACUGAAAGUGCUUCGGGAAUGUCAACUUUCUCUCUGCUCUCUUUUUUGCUCUCUCCUCUCCGAGCUGCAUUUAAGAAAAAAAGUUUUAUUUAAAUUGGAAACUUGAGUUGGUAGUUCGAGUUCAGAACAAGUAUUCCUGUCGUGACGCCACAGAACUGCCACUUUUGCCACUGAUGUGCUACUGUACCGCCGAUCCCCCCCCCCCGCGGAACACCCCCGUCUGCGCCCCCCUUCCAAACCCCCCCAGGGGAAUACGUCGGACUUGUGAUAGAGGUGGGGAAUAUGUAGUGUGUCAAAUAAAAUAAAAUAAAUACAAAAAACACAGCAAUGAAAUAAAAAGAACUACAAAAAACAUCUUUACGGCAGCUAACCUGUCGCACAAACAACGGCCAUUUCCGGGAAAGCCUGGCUCCGCCCACUCGGCGUGGCGUUGCGACGCCCGCCCCUUACUUGACGCGAGUUGUGCCACUGAGAGCCACUGAGUGCCACGAGUUUGUGCCACUGAGAGCCACUGAGUGCCACGAGUUUGUGCCAAUGAGAGCCACUGAGUGCCUUGAGUUGUGCCAAUGAGUGCCACUUGUCUUGCUGUGCAAAGACCUGCAAAAGGUAAAUAAAGAUGACCUCCAUUCAGUCACGGCAAAGAACGUGAGAUAAUCUCACCACUUCUGCUCCACAAAGAAGUACUAACUUGUUAAGUCUGGCAGAUAUAUUUUGCGAACUGAACACAUUGAAUGUGUCUUUGCAGAACACCUGUAUUUUAACAUGUCCACUCAUGUCGGUCACAGCCAACUUGACCAACUUGAUUAUUCUCAAGCCUACUCUGCUGAUAGGGAAGAGAUAUCUGUACAGCUGGAUCAAAGCUGAUGCCUUAAGGUGAGUGCACCUAGAUCCCAGCAGUUGCUGGGGCUGCAUUAUGAAGACGUGUAGGGGGCGCUAUUGAGCCAAAAUGCUGUUUGGAAGCAUUGAAAUCAUAUGAAGUAAGUACACCUAUAACUGUUAAUGUGUUUUCCAAGUUUGAUAAAGAUUGGAGCGUAACACAAACAGCGUAACACAAAAACAAAGUUUAAUAACUUAAUCACCAUGGGACCGUUUUGUCCAAAUUUGAAAAGUCUGUAACAAAGUCCCAGAGAGGAGUUCUUUAAAGUACAGCAUCUAGGAAGUGCAUAAAAUAGAGGAAAUUUUCACACAAAAAAAUUAACCGACUUCCUGUUCAUUUUAGAGCAUGGUCCCAAGACACUUUUUUUUACGUCUCCCUAUCAUGAAUAUGUCCAAAAAUUGUCUUUUAUGAAGGACAAACAGGGCGCUGGGGCUACUUCCUUGAAAACUCCCAAUAUACACUGUGAACUAUCAUCAAAGCCUUAAGGCUUAUAUUCAAGGUUGAUCAGAUUAAAUGGCUAGGAGAUACACAUUAAAGUGUAAAACUUUUGCAUUUAGCUAAGCCAAUAGGUGACGCUAUAAUUUUUUGAAAAUCACUGCGGAAAUACUUUAAGGCGUACGAUAGCAUCAUAAAUUAGAAGUUUCGGCCAGAAAUAAAAAUGUUCCUUGGAGUUAUAACAUCUUACGUUUUCAAGAAAAUUAACCAAAAUGGACGUCAAGCCACGCCCUGCUAGUUUCACAAAAACUCUUGAUUUUAAUAACUUUUGACCAUCCAGAUGUCAGAAUCAAUUUUCCCUGAAAAUGAAGUGGAUCGGGUCUAAACUCUCGGAGGAGUUUGUUUGUAAAUCCAAAAUACAAUAGAAAUUGCAAAAAACAUGCAAAAUUUCAGAGAACGACUGCAGCGCCCCCUAAAGUUCAAAUAUUCUGAAAGAAUCAGGGUAUGCUCAGGGACUCAAUGUGAACAUAUCCUAGAGAUUUGGUGAGGACAAGUCAAAUACCUUUGAAGUUAUACGUCUUUCACUUUUAGGCCACACCCCCUAAAACCUUCAUUGGUCCAUAACUUCGAAACCCAAAGAGAUAUCAACAAUCUUGCUAGGCGCUUUUGCACACCAUGAUUGACUUUUUUGUAGAGCAGAUCAAAGAGCACCUGUGUGCAAAAUUUCAAGUCAAUCAGUGAAACUGGGGGAAAAUUUCCCCAAAGAAAGCACUUCCAGGUGGCGCUAGAGAGCCAUUUUUGUAUCCCCAAUUGCGCAACCCAAAGAAUAUCUCAAUGUUUCGCACUUUUGAUUCGCACGCCAACAUUCAAGAGUUUUUGAAUAUGAUAAAGGCCUCAAAAGUGCGAUUAAAGUGGAGAAAUAAUAAUGAUAAUAAUUCUUCAAAACACAAUAGGGCUUUCGCCCGACUUGCAGUCGGCUCAGGCCCUGAAUAAAGUUAGCCAUGGUUAGCUCUAAUUUACUCGAAGAACUGGAUCUACAAUCCUUUCAAAUGUAAAUGACCAUUGUCAACACAAAUGAAGACUACAUCAAAUGUAUAUGGACAGUCACCAAAUCUUCAGCUCUUAUAAAAGUGUGUAAAGCUCCUUUUGUAAUGAAACAUAUGUAACUGAUUAAAACAAAUACAAAAAAAGAGUCAUUGCAUAUAACUGGUGCAGGGAUACGAUGUUGUCUUUGUCCAUUUCGCAAUGCUUUUGACAUGGCCAACUGAAAUUUCAUGGUCUUCCAUUGUUCUAUUGAUCCCCUUAACCUUUUCACUUCUGUACGUCCUAUAAUUAGUGUAACACAUUAUUUUCUUGGCUGAAUCAUAACCAGCCAUUCUCAACACAACCUACAUUUUUUGUUGAACAGUCUUUCCUAUUCCUUGUCCCCCCCUUCAUUUCCGGUUUCUCUCUUUUGGGUCUGUCCUCCAGGUUUUCCUACACCUGCUCUGUGCCGCCACAUUCUUGAAUUCCACUGAGCAGGUCUCCUCAAGUGGUAUAAAAAGCCUCCAACUGUCACGUGUGUAUUCUAUUCUAUUUUGCUUAGCAACGAACGUACAGUGGCCGAGGGGGAAAUCCAUACGUGCACGAACCAGGACAACUUGGUUGGUGACUUCCUCCUCAAGGUGUGGCGUUUAACUGUUUGAAUGCGUAUGUCCCACUGUCAAUGUGUGAGGCUUGAGAAACAUGCAAGUUUAUUAUUUUAGAUCUGUUUAUUGAGUAAAAUAAAACAAUAGGAUAAUUAAAUUAAAAUGUGUAGUAAAGAACAAUAAAACAUCAACUGAUUUUAAAGCAAUGAGGUUGUUUGAAGUGAGCUGAGAGUGUACCACUCUGUCAACCACAAAUUAUUAUACGUGUAAUUUACCAUGUCACCAUAAAAGACCAAAUUGACUUAAAAUUAAGUAGGUUACAUAAGGUCAGAUCGUGAGAUUACGCUUUAAUAUGUGUAACAACCACAAACAUAUAAAAGGCUACUUUGGCUAAAGUGUAGUUAUAGAUAUAAAAUCUUCCAUUUUUGCAGUAAAGCAAGAUACAAGAAGUGUAGAAUAGUAACAGCAAAACAAGCAAAAUGCUGACACAUGGGCUCUCGCACGCCACCUUACUUAAGGCAGAGGUACGGUUUCUCUCCCCUCUGAUUUUUCAUGCUGGUUAUGUCAGACUAAAUAGGUGUGGGAACAGUGUAGGUUGGGGAGGCCUAACCGCUGAAAGCUGGAGAGCCUGAAUCCGUAAUACUAUUCUUUGGCCGAGCCAAAUCGGAACAAAGUCCGAAGAAAUACUACAGUCUUAACUUUACAUCAACACAAGUCAUUUUAGGAGGGACCCCUAUGGUGUCUGUGGCUUCACCAAUCAGAUCUCAGGGCAAUUUCACUAUGACAGAUAAAUCACACAUAGGUGUGAGGACUGGUUUUAUGUCCUGUAGCAGCAAUGCAUUCCAAAACUCAGCCUUGGUUUUUACGCUAUGGUGGGAACCAAUAUAGGUUUUACAGAUAUAGGAAAUACAUUACCUAUAACAUGGAAAGAAAAGAGACGUGACAAAUGAUGAAAACGCAAAAUGCAAGCACCCAACCCAGUUUCUGCCUGCCUGCCUUUUGGACUCGAGGGUCCCCCACCUGAGUUCCGAUCAAGUCUACCACAUAAAAAGGUACUCCUAUAAACUAAUUUAAUAAUGGCGCACACAACAAAAAACAUUAGAGCCUAUCAAUAAAUAAUAGUAUAUCAAUAUCUUUACUGAUAAUUAAUGGUCCAGUCUUAUGGUGGCCAAUAGAAUUUUUAUGUGCUGUACUGGCUAUGCCAUGUGGUGAUGGAUCUCUGGCUACCCAGCUGUGUGGCUCCAGCACAGGGGCGGUCACUUUUAAGCUCAGCAUCAGCAGUUUGUCUCUGCCAGAGCUGUCAGUGCUCACCAUGCGGUACAAAGAAAGCAAGAACAGAGCAGCAAGAACAGAGCGACAGAGCGGGGCCGAAGGUGAGAUGAACAGAGUGAGAGAUGACCGCACAACGAAGAAAAUAAAUAGAUGGAGGACACUUUGCAGACAGAGAGAUGGAAGGAGACAAAGUGCUGGACUCUGCUACGAUGCCAAAUUUAAGACCCUAGAGCAGUGGUUCUUAACCUUGUUGGAGGUACUGACCCCCACCAGUUUCAUAUGCGCAUUCACCGAACCCUUUUUAAUUGGAAAAAUACAAUUCAAAACAUAGGUAUAUAUUUUACUGGUGCACAAAAUGAACCGUGCAUCAACAUCAGUGUUCAAAGAACAAAACCAUUAAAACAAUUUUUAAUACUUCUGCCAGUUUUGGAGGCAAGGUUUUUGUUGCCAACGCAUGCCUGUGAAGAAUACAAUGAGUAACAAUGAUGUGUGGUGCAUCGGCUUUCACUAGCGCACCAAAACCAGACUUUCUUCCCAGCAUGACUGGAGCUCCAUCCGAACAAACUACAGAAACCAUAUCCCACAAAAGAUUGUUGUCUUUGAAGUCAUCCACAAGUUUCUUCACAUCGGCUGCCUUAGUUGUUGUCGUAAGAGGCUUACAAAAUAAAAAAUCUUCCUUUAUCACGUUGUCUUUCACAUAGCGCACAAAUACAGCAAGCUUGCUUAGAUUGGAAACGUCUGUGGUCUCGUCCAGUUGAAGGCUGAAUUUUGCCAGGCUUGAAAUCAGAUCUGCAACUACUUGAGCCAAGAUGUCUUUGCUCAUGUCCUCUAUUCUGUCACUAAUGGUGUCAUUUGAAAGAGGAAUUUGGGAUAACUGAACUUCAGCCGCUUUUCCCAGCAUGAUAUUCGCCAUCUUCAACACAGCUGGUUUUAUGAGUGUUUCACCAAUGGUGUGUGGUUUGCCCUGCUUUGCGAUCAGGUAAGCAACUUUGUACGAUGCUGUGAGGAUCGGUUUGUUGAUGGGUACAAAGCCGAGAACAGGCAGAGUAGCCUUUUCAUCGAAUCUGGCUCUCUUCACCUUGAAUUCAGCGAGCGUUGUGUUCUUGUAUUGUCCAUCUCCAUGCAGCUUAAGGAAGUGUUCUUAGUUUUGCCGGUGCUAGACUAGAAUUGCUCAACUUGGCAUUGCAAAUCAUGCAGUUAGGACGCCGACUCCCAUCAUGUUCAGUUAUACAUGUGAAUCCAUAUUGUACAUAUUCGUCCGACCACUUUCUUUUUUUGCUCGUCAUAGUUAGUAUGAAGGGAUUAAAAUAUUAAGAAAGAAAUCACACGACGUACCAUCACGACAGUCACAAUUUGACUACUGAGCGUGCCAAAUUCCCUGCAGCACAGAUAGGCCAAGCGAUGUUGCGUGAUCUCCUGCAGCCAAUGAUGGCCAAGCGGGGCGUGUAAUCACGAAUCAUAUGAGUCGGGUGUGUGUCUUGACCUCCGCCGAACCCCUGAGACUGACUCACCGAACCCCUGGGGUUCGAUCGAACCCAGGUUAAGAACCACUGCCCUAGAGACAUACACUUUAUGUAUAUAUGGGUUUUAGUGACUUUAAUCCAGCUGUAUGUCCUAAUGUUAAUGUAUGAACGUGGCUAUAUAUUACACACACAAUUUGAUGCUUUGUUUUCACCAGGCACACAAAAUAAAGAUUUAAAUCAAACUGGGAAUAGAUGACAUUUUAUGUGGCAACAGCAUUAGAAAAGCAAAUUUGUUCUGUUUUUAUAGGGAUCUAAUACAUAUAAAGGGAUUGUCUUUCCAUAAGUCCCUGUAAAUGCAUGGUCAAAAAUAUAUGUAUUAUACAGUUAACUGCAGACUGUACCUUUUCAUUCAAUAUACACACACUCAAUAUGGUCCUCUGGUGUGUGUUAACCACACUGUUAUAUCCUGCCAGUCACUCUUUGGAAUGGACUUUUCAGUUUAAUCAACAGAAGCAAAGUCCUUUACAUCCGCUUGCAUGUUGCCCAUAUGACUAUGGCUAUUGCCUGGUAGUGUAAUUUGGGGUAACAUUUUUAUGGAAGAUUAAGACGAUCGAACUGUCAAAGAGAAUAGUGCUAUACAAGCGGCACAAGGAGAUGUCAACUUGGAGACAACUGAGGCCAUAUGUGAUUGUUCUGAGCGUGGAUCCCACAUUAACAGUGGAAAGAUCUUUUUUACAAGGCAAUGAAGUGUUAUUCAGAUUCCGCAUACACAGGACUGAGCAGAAUGGAAGAAGUGGUCACCAGAUGCGGAAAGCUAGAGAUCGCUCUAAAGAUGGAUGUGGUUACAGUGUAGUCAAACUACAUUUAUUUUCUUACUUAUUGUGGCAAUACGAGUGGCCUAUGACACUCAAGGAAAAUAACAAUGUCCAACAACGCCACUUGGGAUAGGCCCAAGACCAUUCACGUUAAGGCACACAGAGCCGUUCACCAAAAUCAGGGGUCAGAGACCAUAAGGGAAUUAUAAAAAUAUACGGUUUUAUUUAGUUAAAUAUUCAUUUUAAAAUGACAAUAUGUUAUUUGUUAAGGAGUAGAUCAGUGAUAAGAAAAUAAACAAAACAAUUCAAAUCAAUAAACCGGCAUGCAUAAAAAGGAAGAUGCAAACAAAAUAAAAAAAAGGAAAAGACCUACAUGCAAUAUAUACACAUACACAACAGUUAAUACACUAUAGAGAGACAUUUUUGUACCAGUUUCCAGAUUGCUUGUGUAGUCAGAAGUUUUACCAGAUGGGUUUCAGCCGGUAUCAAGAACAGGUUCAGUGGGGGAGGGAGAACGCUCUGGGGAAUAUUGGCCCUUUAAUUAGUCGUGGCACCAGGAUAGCCCCACAAUAGCAUGUCCAAGGCUGCAGCCCGGUCCAGCUGUGUUUUAAAACACACCGUUAGAACACGACCGCAAUGAAUGUACAGCAAACAGGCAAACACAGCGACUUACCGAAUUACAGUACAGGCCGCCCACGGACCCCGGCAGUGGCACCCACCUCGCACACACAGACAGCGGCCCACACUAUAACAAUUAAGACUGUCAGAUUUUAAUAACGCCCAAAUGUGUCGAAAGAGAGAAGCAUGCAUCGUACUGAGACACCAAACACCAGCAGUCCAGGCAUACAUCCACCCACACGGGGACAUCCAUGACCAAGACAGGGUCGCUAUAUGAAAGAAUGCACAUUGGUGCCGCAUACACGGCGACACAGGACAAUAAAAAGGCACAAAAGAUGGGGAAAGUGCCCUUACCACACCGCAGCAGAAUGAUGACCUAGGGCAGCGGCCAAAACAUGAAGCACGCCUCCCGGACACGUCUCCAUAGACACCCAGCAGGAGAAGACAACAAAGCGAGUCCACACACCACAGGCUUAUGUAAUGGCCCCGCCUCUCCCAAUCAAUCGGAAUUAGCCCCAGGUAUGCUGGUCCACACCCCUGUGUGCAGGUAAGAGGGAGGGGAAAACACUCAUCCGGUCACAUUAUUUUCCCGGUACUCGGGUAAUCAGACAGGCAACGGUAUCCAAAUUGCACGGCGACGACACACUAGGAAAUUGUUGGUAAGCUCACUGGUACAGACUGAGACAAACUGGCACAGAACAAGGAUUGACACAGACUAAAUACACAAGGGAGGGCAAACAACGAGACACUGGUGGAAACAAUCAGUUAUCACACAGUGGGGAGAGGUGCCUGACACAAGAGAACAGGUGAGUCACAGACAAACUACAUAAAAGGACUGGGCAUGAUGCUGUCAACAUAAACCUGUUAAUCUAUGCGAUUAAUGUGGCCAAGAUUAAUGCAAGAUAAAAUAAUUGAAAGUAGUUAACGUAACUUUGAUUACUUCCGGUCUAGUCGGAAGUUGGUUGCGGAAAAUAAACAAGCAAGACGGUAGCAAGAGAGCUUUUUGCAUUUAAUUUGAAGUAAAACAGCGGCAUACAGUAGAGAACUGUGGGAAGGAAUUCUUGUGCGAAGGAAUUCCACAGGUCUAACCGAAGGGGGGUGAGUGGCAAACGGAUAACUUAACUAGCUGCUAGGCUACUUCCAUCUCAACAUCUAACGUUACCCUGUGGGCACAGAGGCUGCAGAGGACAACCACUGUGUUCCUAAAAGACAGUGUUUUGUAAACAUCCUGGCUAAAUGUGGGGAGAUUGUUGGCACUUCAAACACAAGUGCACGAGGGAAGCAGGAAGGGUCGCUAGUUCAACAUGUUCCACUCCGUGGAAUGGUCUUCAACGUUUUUCAAGCCAUGGUCCCCCAAACUGAUGGCGAGGUGGAGCAGGGACCCCCUAUUCUACGGAGUUUGGUCCACCAUCUUUUAUUUUUGAUCUUCACGCUUUUUAGACGUGAGCAUAAACGCGAUCUGAUUGGCUGGUGCCUGCGCUGUCGUAUUCGCAUGAAAGGAGCUGUGAGUGAACCGGUGCCCAGCUUGAGAGCUGCUGAGGGAAGCUGAAUGUGUGUGUUGCGCACUGACAGAUAAAGUCUUCUCCAUCAAUUUAUCCGUUCGCUUCAAUAUGUUGGAUUCAUGUUAAUGUGUAUUUAAAGACCAUAAAUAAAAUUCUGAUUCUGAAGACAUUUACAUUUGUGGGGGAAAAAAUAGUUUAAAAAAAUGGUCUUAUCAACCAAAAAUUUCGCGACCCCCCUGCAGUACCUUCGCAGACCCCCUGUUGAAGACAGUCUGUCUUAGAUGAUCAAAUGUGUAUAGUUUUGUGUUUAACAUAAAAUGAACAAUUAAAUAAGUGUCUAAAAUACCCCCAUUCAUUGACAAAAUAUUCUAACAAUCAGUGCUGUAGUGGUAAAAUUAGAG
This is a long non-coding RNA of Gasterosteus aculeatus aculeatus (three-spined stickleback), 16890 nucleotides long. Lineage: Eukaryota; Metazoa; Chordata; Actinopteri; Perciformes; Gasterosteidae. The record is from Ensembl.